RNAcentral lists this unclassified non-coding RNA (828 nucleotides) under Hevea brasiliensis (rubber tree). The record is from RNAcentral. Lineage: Eukaryota; Viridiplantae; Streptophyta; Magnoliopsida; Malpighiales; Euphorbiaceae.
GACCCCUUUUACUCUUUCCUCAAACCCUUCAGGCAACUCAACUCUCCUAGCUUCCUCAGUAAAGAUAUCUCCUCUAUCCGCGUCCCUCAACACCCAUAUAAACCUCUGUUUGCUCUGCUCUAAUCCCAUCGCGAGCUCCUUGAUUUCCCUAUCAGAAAAUGAAGUUGUUGUUCCAAAAGACACAUAAAGUACUGAUCUUGGAGGCUGUUUGUCAAGCCAAUCCAAACAUACAUCCUCCCUAUUCGAUAUACGAUCCAUUUUAGUAGGCAAAAGUGGUCCAAUUGCCCAAUUUUUCUUCUUCUGAUCACUUGCUACUUGUGCUAACAAAUCAAGAAACUUACCUUCAAUCACUUUGCUUGUAUUAUGUAUAUCACCUGAUCUAAUAUCUAAAUAUGGACUCUGAGAAGCUCCGCGAUCUCUGAUUUUAUCCGUCAUAAUUCCAUCAAGGGAAGGUAACUUUUUAAGCAAUUCCUCUUCAAGUUGAACAGACAUUCCAACGGACAAGCAUAUAAUACAGUAGAAAGUGAACACAGAAAUGCAAUUAAAUAUAUAGGAUUCCGCGUUGUGCAAGGAUGAAACGUCCUGAACGUUAUAGGACAUUAAAGAAUCAUGAACAACAACGACUCGUCUUGAUAUUGAGGAAAUAUCGCGUAAGAAGGAAGCAAUAGGCUCGCGAAGAAGCAUACAAGCAUCCCAUGAUGGCUCCAGAUGUGAUGGAAAUUUGCUCAAUGCAUUAGGAUCAGGUGCAGGAGAGGUAAAAUCAGGUGUUGGGAUAUCAUGGAAAUGAAUUUUGGCUAUGUCUGAAGGAUUUAACGCGUUGGCUCGAAC